This 566-nucleotide ribosomal RNA is filed under the name uncultured bacterium. RNAcentral describes it as "bacterial SSU rRNA". It matches the Rfam family "Bacterial small subunit ribosomal RNA", at positions 917 to 1478 of the family's 1533-position model. The record is from RNAcentral.
GGACCCGCACAAGCGGCGGGAGCAUGCGGAUUAAUUCGAUGCAACGCGAAGAACCUUACCAAGGCUUGACAUAUACGAGAACGGGCCAGAAAUGGUCAACUCUUUGGACACUCGUAAACAGGUGGUGCAUGGUUGUCGUCAGCUCGUGUCGUGAGAUGUUGGGCUAAGUCCCGCAACGAGCGCAACCCUCGUUCUAUGUUGCCAGCACGUAAUGGUGGGAACUCAUGGGAUACUGCCGGGGUCAACUCGGAGGAAGGUGGGGAUGACGUCAAAUCAUCAUGCCCCUUAUGUCUUGGGCUUCACGCAUGCUACAAUGGCCGGUACAAAGGGCUGCAAUACCGCGAGGUGGUGCGAAUCCCAAAAAGCCGGUCUCAGUUCGGAUUGGGGUCUGCAACUCGACCCCAUGAAGUCGGAGUCGCUAGUAAUCGCAGAUCAGCAACGCUGCGGUGAAUACGUCCCCGGGCCUUGUACACACCGCCCGUCAAGUCACGAAAGUUGGUAACACCCGAAGCCGGUGGCCUAACCCCUUGUGGGAGGGAGCUGUCGAAGGUGGGACUGGCGAUUGG